AUAGUUUAGAUGGAAUUAGCCAGAUAAAUAAUGAAGUAUCAGAAGCACUGAUUUGUAAUCAGUAGGUCCGCGGUUCGAGUCCGUGUGGGGGCACCA
RNAcentral lists this transfer RNA (96 nucleotides) under Planktomarina temperata. RNAcentral describes it as "tRNA-Thr". It matches the Rfam family "tRNA". Rfam says of the family: Transfer RNA (tRNA) molecules are approximately 80 nucleotides in length. Their secondary structure includes four short double-helical elements and three loops (D, anti-codon, and T loops). Lineage: Bacteria; Pseudomonadati; Pseudomonadota; Alphaproteobacteria; Rhodobacterales; Paracoccaceae. The record is from RNAcentral.